RNAcentral lists this ribosomal RNA (493 nucleotides) under uncultured bacterium. Its description in RNAcentral is "bacterial SSU rRNA". It matches the Rfam family "Bacterial small subunit ribosomal RNA", at positions 10 to 522 of the family's 1533-position model. The record is from RNAcentral.
AGUUUGAUCCUGGCUCAGGACGAACGCUGGCGGCGCGCCUAAUACAUGCAAGUCGAGCGAGAACCAGGGCUUGCCCUGGGGAGAGCGGCGAACGGGUGCGUAUCACGUGAGCAACCUGCCUCAGAGACCGGGAUAACUCGAGGAAACUCGGGCUAAUACCGGAUGCCCUCGUUGGACCGCAUGGCCCGGCGAGGAAAUGGAUUCCGCUCUGAGAUGGGCUCGCGGCCUAUCAGCUUGUUGGUGGGGUAACGGCCUACCAAGGCAACGACGGGUAGCUGGUCUGAGAGGACGAUCAGCCACACUGGGACUGAGACACGGCCCAGACUCCUACGGGAGGCAGCAGUAGGGAAUCUUGCGCAAUGGGGGAAACCCUGACGCAGCGACGCCGCGUGCGGGAUGAAGGCCUUCGGGUCGUAAACCGCUUUCAGCAGGGACGAAAUUGACGGUACCUGCAGAAGAAGGCCCGGCCAACUACGUGCCAGCAGCCGCGGUA